UGCUAUUUUUUUUCAUUCUAUACUCCGUUUUCAGUUCGAAUUUAUAGUUUAAUGCUCUAUAGGGAAGUCCAGACAUUGUGCUAUAUAAUAACGAAAUAUGUAUUUGGCAACCCAAAUCUUUUUUGCAAAACUGCCACACAACCUGAAUGCCGUUCGUUUGAGAUCGCACAUCUGCAAGCAGCCUACGCUCGACCGCACUGCGCCCAGAGGUCUUCGAGGUCGUGCUUCGCGGCAACCUGCAAUUCCCGCUGCGCGCCUUCACCACUCCGCGCGGCGGCGGCCGUCUUCCCCGUCGGCGUGGUCCAGCCCUCCGUGGGGCACCGGAAGCUCGUGGGGAUUGACCAACUGUCAGUUUGUUGGGGCUUGAUCUGUCCCAAUGGGCGACGAACAUAUAGCUGACUGAAGGCGCGAGUAUGGCCUAUAUGGACUAAAGCACAACUGGACUAAAGGAUUUGUUCCUUUCCCUCGGCGGCAAUAUCCUGUAUGGCAGUACCUUUUCGCCUCCUUUUACCAGCCGUAUAAUUCAGUGAGUUGUUAGUAACUGUUUUGAUUGGUUGUUAGUAUUCCGGCACUGCCUUAUGUAUGGAUAUUCAUUGUUGAUAUGUGUUACAUGGUGUGAUCCCGAUCGACUCCAAUAGGGGCACCCAGGCACCGCACCCAGGCUCAUGCAAAUGCUCAAAACAGCCUGGUAACGCCACCACUUGUUGAUCAAAACGUUGUCUUUCUGAGUACUGAUUAGGAUUACAUGCAACCUUCUUGCUGGAAAUACGCUUCUGAAAAGAGAUGCUAAACUGGCCUGAUAAGAUUGGCAUUAGGCUUUUGCCGUAGGAUCCUGGAACUCUGGAUUCUAGGAACAGCACCUACCAGGUUACCUGAUGUAAUCCGUAUCCUUGCAUGAGGUCUGGAGUACGUGGUUUUUCAAUUUCUCUUGGACAGUUUUAGUCGAGUUAGGUGUGUUCAAGGAUUAGCUUUGGUUUUCCCAUUUUACUCUCUAAGAAAGGUAACUGAAAUUUUGUUUCUGCUCAAUUUCAUUAGGUUGCAAGAAAAUGACUGGUUGAAAUUGCUUUCCUAAACAAAGUAAUAGAUGUACAAUAUUGAUCAAACAAAUGGGCAACAAGUCAACAACGACCCAGUAGAGAUUUUAUUGUGCUGAAUAGGGCCAAGUAAAUUAUCAAACCAUUGUUGGUAAGAGGAUAAUUUACUAUGAUUCAGUUGGCAAAGAGGCUCUGAUCUGCAGUUUAAAUGACGAAGAAAUACUGGAACAUGGGGAAGAGAAGCAUGUUUCACAAAAGAAGAAGAUCCGCUAAUAUGGUAAUAAUACAUCCCAGUUAAAUAGAUUGGUUUUUCUGUAUUACGUGCUCUUCUGUCGUGAGCUGCAAUUGAUUACCACAACAUGCUAUGUUUUCAUCCGUUCAAGUCUGAAGAAUGGGUACUAUCUAUCAGUCUAUAUCUUUGAAUUUUUUUCUAAUAUAUAAGUUAUAACGCUGCUAUACUGCCAAUUUCUUACAUGCUCAUAUGUAUGUUGUAUGGCGUUUAAUUUCUUUUGGUGGUCCUUUCCCUCUUUGAAUUGAAUGCCAACAUAGCAGAACAUGUACUGCAUAAGGUUCAGCAGGCUGGGUCUAACAAGGUAAAUCAUUAUUUUCUAAAGACUCAUGCGGAAGUUUGCAGGAUUAUGCACACACAUUGUUUUGUUUCGUUGACCAUAGAACAUGAUUUGCUCUUUUUUUUCUCUCCUAUGCCUAAGGCUUUGAGCUCCUUCGAAAACAUUAUUAUAAUGAAAAGGAUGAGAAGUGAGUCCUUUAGACAUGGAACGCACAUAAGUUCUUUGAAGAUCAUUUUAUUUGGGAUGUCAAUAACGGUUCUACCAAUUUGCAUCAAUUGUUUAUAUGCUAUACAAACCAUCACUUGCCCCCAGGGAAGCUUUGCUGAUUUUCCAUCACAUUUAGGAAUCUUGCUAUACAAUCUAUGACUUACUGUUGUAUCGACACUCUAUUGUCAUUAAUUUGAUGCACGGAAUUUGUGAAUAUAUAAAUAUUCUGGCUGAA
Aegilops tauschii subsp. strangulata is the source of this 2045-nucleotide long non-coding RNA. RefSeq lists it as uncharacterized. NCBI's taxonomy places the organism in Eukaryota, Viridiplantae, Streptophyta, Magnoliopsida, Poales, Poaceae. The record is from RefSeq and is a predicted model, not a curated record.